RNAcentral lists this ribosomal RNA (200 nucleotides) under uncultured bacterium. RNAcentral describes it as "partial 16S ribosomal RNA". It matches the Rfam family "Bacterial small subunit ribosomal RNA", at positions 28 to 221 of the family's 1533-position model. The record is from RNAcentral.
GAUGAACGCUAGCUGGAGGCUUAAUACAUGCAAGUCGAACGGCAAGUUGGGUAGCAAUACUUGACCUAGAGUGACGUACGGGUGCGUAACACGUAUGCAACCUACCCAGAACAGGAGUAUAGCUCGGGGAAACUCGAAUUAACCCUCCAUGAGAUAGUAGUGAGGCAUCUCACAGUUAAUUAAAACUCGAGGGUUGGUUU